UACGGGGGGAGCAAGCGUUGUUCGGAUUUACUGGGCGUAAAGGGCGCGUAGGCGGCCAGCACAAGUCAGUUGUGAAAUCUCCGAGCUUAACUCGGAAAGGUCAACUGAUACUGUGCGGCUAGAGUGCGGAAGGGGCAACUGGAAUUCUUGGUGUAGCGGUGAAAUGCGUAGAUAUCAAGAGGAACACCUGCGGCGAAGGCGGGUUGCUGGGCCGACACUGACGCUGAGGCGCGAAAGCAUGGGUAGCGAACAGG
Molecule: ribosomal RNA, 254 nt
Filed under: uncultured bacterium
Lineage: Bacteria
Description: partial 16S ribosomal RNA
Rfam family: Bacterial small subunit ribosomal RNA
Source: RNAcentral